This 775-nucleotide ribosomal RNA is filed under the name uncultured Neocallimastigales. RNAcentral's name for it is "partial large subunit ribosomal RNA". It matches the Rfam family "Eukaryotic large subunit ribosomal RNA", at positions 20 to 644 of the family's 3401-position model. Lineage: Eukaryota; Fungi; Neocallimastigomycota; Neocallimastigomycetes; Neocallimastigales. The record is from RNAcentral.
UACUAGAGUAGCACUCGCAUAUCAAUAAGCGGAGGAAAAGAAACUAACAAGGAUUCCCCUAGUAACGGCGAGUGAAGCGGGAAGAGCUCAAAUUUGAAAUCUUAAAGGGUUUCCCUUUACGAAUUGUAGUUUAAAGAAGUGUUUUCUGUUGAGGUUUUGGUAAAAGUUCUUUGGAAUAGGACAUCAUAGAGGGUGAGAAUCCCGUAUUUGACCUUUACUUUCAACUUUGUGAUACACUUUCAAAGAGUCGGAUUGUUUGGGAAUGCAGUCCAAAAUGGGUGGUAAAUUUCAUCUAAAGCUAAAUAUUGGCGAGAGACCGAUAGCGAACAAGUACCGUGAGGGAAAGAUGAAAAGAACUUUGAAAAGAGAGUUAAAUCAGUACGUGAAAUUGUCAAAAGGGAAGCGUUUGACACCAGUGUUGUUUUUCUGAAAAUCAAUUAAAGAACUGUUUAUGCUAAGCUGUUUAGACUUUAUCAGCUAUCUGUUUAGUUUUGAGCUUUUCUUUAAUGCACUUUUCAGUUAACAAGUCAACAUCAAUUUCUUUUGCUGUAAAAAAGCUUGAGGAAGGUGGCUUGAGAUUCGUCUUAAGUGUUUAUAGCCUCUUGCCUAUGCAGUCGGAGAGAUUGAGGUCUGCAGCGUAGAUCCUUCGGGGCUAAAUGCAUUUGUGCUAAGUUAUAGCAUUUCAUAGACAACUUGUUGACUAUGAUUUGUCUUGUAGCUUACUCGCUUAUGUUAUUUUACCUACGCUUAGGAUGUUGAACUACUGAGACAUAGA